CCUACGGGUCGCAGCAGUGGGGAAUAUUGCACAAUGGGCGCAAGCCUGAUGCAGCCAUGCCGCGUGUAUAAAGAAGGCCUUCGGGUUGUAAAGUACUUUCAGCGGAGAGGAAGGCGAUAAGGUUAAUAACCUUGUCGAUUGACGUUACCCGCAGAAGAAGCACCGGCUAACUCCGUGCCAGCAGCCGCGGUAAUACGGAGGGUGCAAGCGUUAAUCGGAAUUACUGGGCGUAAAGCGCACGCAGGCGGUCUGUCAAGUCGGAUGUGAAAUCCCCGGGCUCAACCUGGGAACUGCAUUCGAAACUAGCAGGCUGGAGUCUUGUAGAGGGGGGUAGAAUUCCAGGUGUAGCGGUAAAAUGCGUAGAGAUCUGGAGGAAUACCGGUGGCGAAGGCGGCCCCCUGGACAAAGACCGACGCUCAGGUGCGAAAGCGUGGGGAGCAAACAGGAUUAGAUACCCCCGUAGUC
This 465-nucleotide ribosomal RNA is filed under the name uncultured bacterium. Its description in RNAcentral is "bacterial SSU rRNA". It matches the Rfam family "Bacterial small subunit ribosomal RNA", at positions 338 to 795 of the family's 1533-position model. The record is from RNAcentral.